GGAAGUAGAUAGGUAACUGGUGUGCCUACCGGUCUUCAAAACCGAGUUUUGGCGUUAAGUCGUCAUGGGUGGGUUCGAUUCCCACAUACUUCCGCCA
This 97-nucleotide transfer RNA is filed under the name Psychrilyobacter sp. S5. Its description in RNAcentral is "tRNA-Sec". It matches the Rfam family "Selenocysteine transfer RNA". The record is from RNAcentral. Lineage: Bacteria; Fusobacteriati; Fusobacteriota; Fusobacteriia; Fusobacteriales; Fusobacteriaceae. RNAcentral also lists the same sequence under 1 other name.